RNAcentral lists this ribosomal RNA (270 nucleotides) under uncultured archaeon. RNAcentral's name for it is "partial 16S ribosomal RNA". It matches the Rfam family "Archaeal small subunit ribosomal RNA", at positions 477 to 747 of the family's 1478-position model. The record is from RNAcentral.
CAGCACCCCAAGUGGUCAGGAUGAUUAUUGGGCCUAAAGCAUCCGUAGCCUGUUCUGUAAGUUUCCGGUUAAAUCCAUUAGCUCAACUAAUGGGCUGCCGAAAAUACUGCAGAACUAGGGAGUGGGAGAGGUAGACGGUACUCGGUAGGAAGGGGUAAAAUCCUUUGAUCUAUUGAUGACCACCUGUGGCGAAGGCGGUCUACCAGAACACGUUCGACGGUGAGGGAUGAAAGCUGGGGGAGCAAACCGGAUUAGAGACCCGCGUAGUCC